Molecule: ribosomal RNA, 424 nt
Filed under: Verrucomicrobiota bacterium
Lineage: Bacteria; Pseudomonadati; Verrucomicrobiota
Description: Verrucomicrobia bacterium partial 16S ribosomal RNA
Rfam family: Bacterial small subunit ribosomal RNA
Source: RNAcentral
UGAGGAAUAUUGGUCAAUGGACGCAAGUCUGAACCAGCCAAGUAGCGUGCAUGAUGACGGCCCUAUGGGUUGUAAACUGCUUUUAUAUGGGGAUAAAGUGGGGAACGUGUUCCCUUUUGCAGGUACCAUAUGAAUAAGGACCGGCUAAUUCCGUGCCAGCAGCCGCGGUAAUACGGAAGGUUCGGGCGUUAUUCGGAUUUAUUGGGUUUAAAGGGAGCGUAGGCCGUUUGGUAAGCGUGUUGUGAAAUGUAGGAGCUCAACUUCUAGAUUGCAGCGCGAACUGUCAGACUUGAGUGCGCACAACGUAGGCGGAAUUCAUGGUGUAGCGGUGAAAUGCUUAGAUAUCAUGAAGAACUCCGAUUGCGAAGGCAGCUUAAGGGAGAGCAACUGACGAUGAAGCUCGAAGGUGCGGGUAUCGAACAGG